UCCACGCAGUAAACGAUGAACACUAGUCGUCGGGAUGCUAGUCAUCUCGGUGAUGCACUUAACAGAUUAAGUGUUCCGCCUGGGGAGUACGGUCGCAAGAUUAAAACUCAAAGGAAUAGACGGGGACCCGCACAAGUGGUGGAGCAUGUGGUUUAAUUCGAAGAUACGCGAAGAACCUUACCUAGCCUUGACAUUGAUUGAACCUGCCAGAGAUGGCGGGGUGCCCUUCGGGG
RNAcentral lists this ribosomal RNA (233 nucleotides) under uncultured bacterium. RNAcentral's name for it is "partial 16S ribosomal RNA". It matches the Rfam family "Bacterial small subunit ribosomal RNA", at positions 794 to 1025 of the family's 1533-position model. The record is from RNAcentral.